RNAcentral lists this ribosomal RNA (542 nucleotides) under uncultured Glomeromycotina. RNAcentral describes it as "SSU rRNA". It matches the Rfam family "Eukaryotic small subunit ribosomal RNA", at positions 555 to 1098 of the family's 1831-position model. The record is from RNAcentral. Lineage: Eukaryota; Fungi; Glomeromycota.
GGAAGUCUGGUGCCAGCAGCCGCGGUAAUUCCAGCUCCAAUAGCGUAUAUUAAAGUUGUUGCAGUUAAAAAGCUCGUAGUUGAAUUUCGGGAUCAGUACGCCGGUCGUGCCUUCGGUAUGCACUGGUGUCACUGGUUUAUCCCUUCUGAAGAACCAUCAUGCCAUUCAGUUGGUGUGGCGGGGAAUCAGGACUGUUACUUUGAAAAAAUUAGAGUGUUUAAAGCAGGCUCGCGCUUGAAUACAUUAGCAUGGAAUAAUGAAAUAGGACGUUUGACCCUAUUUUGUUGGUUUCUAGGAUCGACGUAAUGAUUAAUAGGGAUAGUUGGGGGCAUUAGUAUUCAAUUGUCAGAGGUGAAAUUCUUGGAUUUAUUGAAGACUAACUACUGCGAAAGCAUUUGCCAAGGAUGUUUUCAUUAAUCAAGAACGAAAGUUAGGGGAUCGAAGACGAUCAGAUACCGUCGUAGUCUUAACCAUAAACUAUGCCGACUAGGGAUCGGAUGAUGUUAAUUUUUUAAUGACUCAUUCGGCGCCUUACGGGAAAC